UACGUAGGGUGCAAGCGUUAAUCGGAAUUACUGGGCGUAAAGCGUGCGCAGGCGGUUAUGCAAGACAGAUGUGAAAUCCCCGGGCUUAACCUGGGAACCGCAUUUGUGACUGCAUAGCUGGAGUACGGCAGAGGGGGAUGGAAUUCCGCGUGUAGCAGUGAAAUGCGUAGAUAUGCGGAGGAACACCGAUGGCGAAGGCAGUCCCCUGGGCCUGGACUGACGCUCAGGCACGAAAGCGUGGGGAGCAAACAGG
This 253-nucleotide ribosomal RNA is filed under the name uncultured bacterium. RNAcentral's name for it is "partial 16S ribosomal RNA". It matches the Rfam family "Bacterial small subunit ribosomal RNA", at positions 524 to 776 of the family's 1533-position model. The record is from RNAcentral.